UACGAAGGGGGCUAGCGUUGUUCGGAAUUACUGGGCGUAAAGCGCAUGUAGGCGGAUAUUUAAGUCAGGGGUGAAAUCCCAGAGCUCAACUCUGGAACUGCCUUUGAUACUGGGUAUCUUGAGUAUGGAAGAGGUAAGUGGAAUUCCGAGUGUAGAGGUGAAAUUCGUAGAUAUUCGGAGGAACACCAGUGGCGAAGGCGGCUUACUGGUCCAUUACUGACGCUGAGGUGCGAAAGCGUGGGUAGCAAACAGG
RNAcentral lists this ribosomal RNA (253 nucleotides) under uncultured bacterium. RNAcentral describes it as "partial 16S ribosomal RNA". It matches the Rfam family "Bacterial small subunit ribosomal RNA", at positions 524 to 776 of the family's 1533-position model. The record is from RNAcentral.